CGAUCGUAUAGUGAAUCAUCGAAUCUUUGAACGCACCUUGCACUUUGGGAGUCAAUCUCAAAGUAUACCUGUUUGAGUAUCAUAAACAUUUAUCCAAGUAAUUGGGAUUUGAGGAUUACUUUUACUUUUACUUUUACUUUCAUUUUCUAAGAGAAGGUAAGGUAAGGUAUAAAAGGUAUUCCUUUAAAUAUAGAACGGAGUUAGCUGAUGAACUUGCACGCUUACUCGAGUGAGGAUAUUUGCAUUAGUGCAAAGGAUUCAUAAGAGAUUGUGUUAGGGGAUAUUAGUAAUUUAUAAUUCCGAUGAUUUGUUUUGUUUUAUUGUGUUGUGAAAACAAUAUUUAAUUUAAUUCAAUUCAAUUUCUUCUGUACAAAUGUGAUCUCAAAUCAGGCAAGAUUACCCGCUGAACUUAAGCAUAUCAAUAAGCGGAGG
Molecule: ribosomal RNA, 432 nt
Filed under: Cyprinodontiformes environmental sample
Lineage: Eukaryota; Metazoa; Chordata; Actinopteri; Cyprinodontiformes
Description: eukaryotic LSU rRNA
Rfam family: Eukaryotic large subunit ribosomal RNA (bases 377-432)
Source: RNAcentral